This 253-nucleotide ribosomal RNA is filed under the name uncultured bacterium. RNAcentral's name for it is "partial 16S ribosomal RNA". It matches the Rfam family "Bacterial small subunit ribosomal RNA", at positions 524 to 776 of the family's 1533-position model. The record is from RNAcentral.
UACGGAGUGUGCAAGCGUUGUCCGGAUUUAUUGGGUUUAAAGGGUGCGUAGGCGGCCCGGUAAGUCAGUGGUGAAAGCCUCCAGCUCAACUGGAGAACUGCCAUUGAUACUGCCGGGCUUGAGUACAGACGAGGUUGGCGGAAUUGAUUGUGUAGCGGUGAAAUGCAUAGAUACAAUCAAGAACUCCGAUUGCGUAGGCAGCUAACUAGGCUGUAACUGACGCUGAGGCACGAAAGCGUGGGGAGCGAACAGG